CCUACGGGAGGCUGCAGUGAGGAAUAUUGGUCAAUGGACGAGAGCCUGAACCAGCCAAGUAGCGUGAGGGAUGAAUGCUCUAUGGGUUGUAAACUUCUUUUAUAUGGGAAUAAAAUGUUCCACGUGUCGGAUUUUGUAUGUACCAUAUGAAUAAGGAUCGGCUAACUCCGUGCCAGCAGCCGCGGUAAUACGGAGGAUCCGAGCGUUAUCCGGAUUUAUUGGGUUUAAAGGGAGCGUAGGUGGAUUGUUAAGUCAGUUGUGAAAGUUUGGGGCUCAACCGUAAAAUUGCAGUUGAUACUGGCAGUCUUGAGUACAGUAGAGGUGGGCGGAAUGCGUGGUGUAGCGGUGAAAUGCUUAGAUAUCACGAAGAACUCCGAUUGCGAAGGCAGCUCACUGGACUGCAACUGACACUGAGGCUCGAAAGUGUGGGUAUCAAACAGGAUUAGAUACCCGAGUAGUC
Molecule: ribosomal RNA, 460 nt
Filed under: uncultured bacterium
Lineage: Bacteria
Description: partial 16S ribosomal RNA
Rfam family: Bacterial small subunit ribosomal RNA
Source: RNAcentral